RNAcentral lists this ribosomal RNA (266 nucleotides) under uncultured Staphylococcus sp. RNAcentral's name for it is "partial 16S ribosomal RNA". It matches the Rfam family "Bacterial small subunit ribosomal RNA", at positions 505 to 770 of the family's 1533-position model. The record is from RNAcentral. Lineage: Bacteria; Bacillati; Bacillota; Bacilli; Caryophanales; Staphylococcaceae.
GUGCCAGCCGCCGCGGUAAUACGUAGGUGGCAAGCGUUAUCCGGAAUUGUUGGGCGUAAAGCGCGCGUAGGCGGUUUUUUAAGUCUGAUGUGAAAGCCCACGGCUCAACCGUGGAGGGUCAUUGGAAACUGGAAAACUUGAGUGCAGAAGAGGAAAGUGGAAUUCCAUGUGUAGCGGUGAAAUGCGCAGAGACAUGGAGGAACACCAGUGGCGAAGGCGACUUUCUGGUCUGUAACUGACGCUGAUGUGCGAAAGCGUGGGGAUCA